This 723-nucleotide ribosomal RNA is filed under the name uncultured bacterium. RNAcentral describes it as "bacterial SSU rRNA". It matches the Rfam family "Bacterial small subunit ribosomal RNA", at positions 1 to 719 of the family's 1533-position model. The record is from RNAcentral.
UAGAGUUUGAUCAUGGCUCAGAUUGAACGCUGGCGGCAGGCCUAACACAUGCAAGUCGAGCGGCAGCGGGAAGUAGCUUGCUACUUUGCCGGCGAGCGGCGGACGGGUGAGUAAUGUCUGGGAAACUGCCUGAUGGAGGGGGAUAACUACUGGAAACGGUAGCUAAUACCGCAUGAUGUCGCAAGACCAAAGUGGGGGACCUUCGGGCCUCACGCCAUCGGAUGUGCCCAGAUGGGAUUAGCUAGUAGGUGAGGUAAUGGCUCACCUAGGCGACGAUCCCUAGCUGGUCUGAGAGGAUGACCAGCCACACUGGAACUGAGACACGGUCCAGACUCCUACGGGAGGCAGCAGUGGGGAAUAUUGCACAAUGGGCGCAAGCCUGAUGCAGCCAUGCCGCGUGUGUGAAGAAGGCCUUAGGGUUGUAAAGCACUUUCAGCGAGGAGGAAGGCGUUGUAGUUAAUAGCUGCAACGAUUGACGUUACUCGCAGAAGAAGCACCGGCUAACUCCGUGCCAGCAGCCGCGGUAAUACGGAGGGUGCAAGCGUUAAUCGGAAUUACUGGGCGUAAAGCGCACGCAGGCGGUUUGUUAAGUCAGAUGUGAAAUCCCCGAGCUUAACUUGGGAACUGCAUUUGAAACUGGCAAGCUAGAGUCUUGUAGAGGGGGGUAGAAUUCCAGGUGUAGCGGUGAAAUGCGUAGAGAUCUGGAGGAAUACCGGUGGCGAA